RNAcentral lists this ribosomal RNA (429 nucleotides) under Chloroflexota bacterium. Its description in RNAcentral is "Chloroflexi bacterium partial 16S ribosomal RNA". It matches the Rfam family "Bacterial small subunit ribosomal RNA", at positions 355 to 776 of the family's 1533-position model. The record is from RNAcentral. Lineage: Bacteria; Bacillati; Chloroflexota.
UGGGGAAUAUUGCACAAUGGGCGCAAGCCUGAUGCAGCCAUGCCGCGUGUGUGAAGAAGGCCUUCGGGUUGUAAAGCACUUUCAGCGGGGAGGAAGGCGGUGAGGUUAAUAACCUCAUCGAUUGACGUUACCCGCAGAAGAAGCACCGGCUAACUCCGUGCCAGCAGCCGCGGUAAUACGGAGGGUGCAAGCGUUAAUCGGAAUUACUGGGCGUAAAGCGCACGCAGGCGGUCUGUCAAGUCGGAUGUGAAAUCCCCGGGCUCAACCUGGGAACUGCAUUCGAAACUGGCAGGCUAGAGUCUUGUAGAGGGGGGUAGAAUUCCAGGUGUAGCGGUGAAAUGCGUAGAGAUCUAGAGGAAUACCGGUGGCGAAGGCGGCCCCCUGGACGAAGACUGACGCUAAGGUGCGAAAGCGUGGGGAGCAAACAGG